Erinaceus europaeus (western European hedgehog) is the source of this 310-nucleotide unclassified non-coding RNA. Its record names the gene 7SK. It matches the Rfam family "7SK RNA". From Rfam's summary of the family: 7SK was discovered as an abundant small nuclear RNA in the mid-70s but a possible function has only recently been suggested. Lineage: Eukaryota; Metazoa; Chordata; Mammalia; Eulipotyphla; Erinaceidae. The record is from Ensembl.
GGAUGUGAGGGUAAUCUGUCACCCUAUUGAUCGCAGGGCUGAUUCAGCUGACUAAACAGGUGUCCCCUUCCUCCCUCACUGCUCCAUGUGCUUCCCCCCAGGAAGCUGAGCACUCGGUUGAAGAGGACUGUCUUCCCCCAAUAGAGAUCUACCAGUCUUUGGUCAAGGGUGAAUGAGUAGCUGCAUUCCCCUGCUAGAACCUCCAAAUGAGCUCUCAAGGUCCAUUUAUAGGAGAAUGUAGGGCAGUCAAGCUUCCGAGACUCCAGACACAUCCAAAAGAGGCACUGCAUGUGGCAGUCUGCCUUUCUUU